Molecule: ribosomal RNA, 469 nt
Filed under: uncultured bacterium
Lineage: Bacteria
Description: bacterial SSU rRNA
Rfam family: Bacterial small subunit ribosomal RNA
Source: RNAcentral
AGAGUUUGAUCCUGGCUCAGAACGAACGCUGGCGGCGUGCCUAACACAUGCAAGUCGAACGGAGAUAAGGGGCUUGCUCCUUAUUUUAGUGGCGCACGGGUGAGUAACGCGUGGAUAAUCGACCUUGGAAUCUGGGAUAACAUUUCGAAAGGGGUGCUAAUACCGGAUAAGACCACGAUCUCUUUGGAGAUUGCGGUAAAAGGGGGCCUCUGUAUAUGCUUCUGUUUCAAGAUGAGUCCGCGUACCAUUAGCUAGUUGGCAGGGUAAUGGCCUACCAAGGCGACGAUGGUUAGCUGGUCUGAGAGGAUGAUCAGCCACACUGGAACUGAGACACGGUCCAGACUCCUACGGGAGGCAGCAGUGGGGAAUUUUGCGCAAUGGGGGAAACCCUGACGCAGCAACGCCGCGUGAGUGAUGAAGGCCUUCGGGUCGUAAAGCUCUGUCAGAGGGAAAGAAGUGUAUGGCGGUU